UAUCCGGAAUUAUUGGGCGUAAAGGGCUCGUAGGCGGUUCGUCGCGUCCGGUGUGAAAGUCCAUCGCUUAACGGUGGAUCCGCGCCGGGUACGGGCGGGCUUGAGUGCGGUAGGGGAGACUGGAAUUCCCGGUGUAACGGUGGAAUGUGUAGAUAUCGGGAAGAACACCAAUGGCGAAGGCAGGUCUCUGGGCCGUUACUGACGCUGAGGAGCGAAAGCGUGGGGAGCGAACAGGAUUAGAUACCCUGCUAGUCCACGCCGUAAACGGUGGAUGCUGGAUGUGGGGCCCGUUCCACGGGUUCCGUGUCCGAGCUAACGCUUUAAGCAUCC
Molecule: ribosomal RNA, 330 nt
Filed under: uncultured bacterium
Lineage: Bacteria
Description: bacterial SSU rRNA
Rfam family: Bacterial small subunit ribosomal RNA
Source: RNAcentral